This 706-nucleotide small RNA is filed under the name Arabidopsis thaliana (thale cress). RNAcentral describes it as "ATSL180680". The record is from RNAcentral. Lineage: Eukaryota; Viridiplantae; Streptophyta; Magnoliopsida; Brassicales; Brassicaceae.
UUGUAUAUUAUAUGUUCUUUUGCUGAGUAAUGUGGACUAUAUUUUCUGAUAUAUUCGUUUACCUUACAGACUUAACUGAUGAUACUGUAUAUGCAACUUUUUCUUUUUGAGUUAAGUUGCAAAUUAGUCACUUUUUAAAACUUAAUUGGAAAAGUAGUCACUUUAUUAUUUAUAAUUUGCAAAAUAGUCAUUUUUCAUUGUUUGAUUCGUACACUUAGAUUGUACACCACUUUUAGUGUACAGAUAUAUAUAAAAAAUACACAGCGUACACUUUACAUUUGUACACUAAAAGUGAUGUACAAUCCAACUGUACGAAUCAAACUGUGAAAAGUGACUACUUUACAAAUUAUGAAUAGUAAAGUGACUAUUUUCCUAAUUAAGUUUGAAAAAGUGACUAGUUUGCCAACACACCCUUUUUUUUUAAUUUACCCCAAGAUACAUGUAGAGGAAUAAACCAAAAAUGAAGUUUUCCCUAUCAUAUAUCAUGGUGCAUGAAAAAUGUUAAACAACUUCUUGUAGCAUAAACCAGCAACAGAAACAAUCAACAAAUUGUGGAAGCAUUGCCAUAAAAAGUUAUCUAAUAAGAUAAGACUUCCUUGCACUGCAACAAUCUUUGGUUGUGGAUCCCAAUUACACUCACAUAUACACCAUCAUCCCCUUCUUGUCCUUGAGUCCAUUUGAGAUACACAUUGUUACUAAUGUUGUC